RNAcentral lists this ribosomal RNA (325 nucleotides) under Limnospira platensis JAAS-01. Its description in RNAcentral is "bacterial SSU rRNA". It matches the Rfam family "Bacterial small subunit ribosomal RNA", at positions 484 to 811 of the family's 1533-position model. The record is from RNAcentral. Lineage: Bacteria; Bacillati; Cyanobacteriota; Cyanophyceae; Oscillatoriales; Sirenicapillariaceae.
GAAUAAGCCUCGGCUAACUCCGUGCCAGCAGCCGCGGUAAUACGGAGGAGGCAGCGUAUCCGGAAUGAUUGGGCGUAAAGAGUCCGUAGGUGGUUGUGCAAGUCUGCUGUAAAGACAGUGGCUUAACUACUGAAAAGCAGUGGAAACUGAACAACUAGAGGGCGGUAGGGGCAGAGGGAAUUCCCGGUGUAGCGGUGAAAUGCGUAGAUAUCGGGAAGAACACCAGUGGCGAAAGCGCUCUGCUGGACCGCAACUGACACUGAGGGACGAAAGCUAGGGGAGCGAAUGGGAUUAGAUACCCCAGUAGUCCUAGCCGUAAACGAUG